GACGAACGCUGGCGGCGUGCUUAACACAUGCAAGUCGAACGGAAAGGCCCUGCUUGUGUGGGGUGCGCGAGUGGCGAACGGGUAAGUAACACGAGAGUAACCGGCACUUGACUUUGGGAUAGCUUCAGGAAACUGGGGCUACUACCGGAUAGGAGCUCCUGCUGCAUGGUGGGGGUUGGAAAGAUUCGGCGGUUGGGGAUGGAAUGGGGGCGUAUCAGCUUGUUGGUGGGGUGGUGGCUUACCAAGGCUUGGCAGGGUAGCGGGCCUGAGAGGGUGAGCGGCGACAUUGGGACUGAGAUGCGGCCCGGACUCGUACGGGAGGCAGCAGUGGGGAAUAGUGCACAAUGGGAGGAAGCAUGAUGCAGCAGCGCCGCGUGCGGGAUGACGGCCUUCGGGUUGUAAACUGCUUUCGCCUGUGACGAAGCGUGAGUGACGGUAAUGGGUAAAGAAGCACCGGCUAACUACGUG
This 468-nucleotide ribosomal RNA is filed under the name uncultured bacterium. RNAcentral describes it as "partial 16S ribosomal RNA". It matches the Rfam family "Bacterial small subunit ribosomal RNA", at positions 28 to 507 of the family's 1533-position model. The record is from RNAcentral.